This 253-nucleotide ribosomal RNA is filed under the name uncultured bacterium. Its description in RNAcentral is "partial 16S ribosomal RNA". It matches the Rfam family "Bacterial small subunit ribosomal RNA", at positions 524 to 776 of the family's 1533-position model. The record is from RNAcentral.
UACGAGUGGCCCAAGCGUUAUCCGGAAUUAUUGGGCGUAAAGGAUGCGUAGGUGGUUGUAUUAGUCUGGUGUCUAACCUCUGAGCUCAACUUGGAGACAGCAUUGGAAACGGUACGGCUAGAGUAUGUUAGGGGUAAGCGGAACUAAUAGUGUAGGGGUGAAAUGCGUUGAUAUUAUUGGGAACACCAAAAGCGAAGGCAGCUUACUGGAACAUUACUGACACUGAAGCAUGAAAGCGUGGGUAGCGAAUGGG